RNAcentral lists this ribosomal RNA (254 nucleotides) under uncultured bacterium. RNAcentral describes it as "partial 16S ribosomal RNA". It matches the Rfam family "Bacterial small subunit ribosomal RNA", at positions 524 to 776 of the family's 1533-position model. The record is from RNAcentral.
UACGUAGGGUGCAAGCGUUGUCCGGAAUUAUUGGGCGUAAAGAGCUCGUAGGCGGUUUGUCGCGUCUGCUGUGAAAACUCGGGGCUUAACUCCGGGCCUGCAGUGGGUACGGGCAGACUAGAGUGCGGUAGGGGAGAGUGGAAUUCCUGGUGUAGCGGUGAAAUGCGCAGAUAUCAGGAGGAAAACCUGAGGUGAAGACGGGUUGCUGGGCCGACACUGACGGUGACAGCGCGAAAGCCAGGGGAGCAAACGGG